UCUUUUUCUGAUUGCUAUGGCGAGACGC
RNAcentral lists this small RNA (28 nucleotides) under Bombyx mori (domestic silkworm). RNAcentral describes it as "piRNA piR-bmo-1415697". Lineage: Eukaryota; Metazoa; Arthropoda; Insecta; Lepidoptera; Bombycidae. The record is from RNAcentral.